This 368-nucleotide unclassified non-coding RNA is filed under the name Hevea brasiliensis (rubber tree). The record is from RNAcentral. Lineage: Eukaryota; Viridiplantae; Streptophyta; Magnoliopsida; Malpighiales; Euphorbiaceae.
AACUCCCUGAGUAUGGCCAUGGCCCUGGCCCACUUCCCCGAACAGCGCAUCCUGUGCAUGACCACAAGGGCCGCCGCAGCACAGACAGCCGCCGCACAGACCACCGCCGCACCCACCGCCACCUUUCCCAUGAGCACUAGCAGCAAUAAAAAAAGCUCACACCUGCCUCUGUAAAAUACGAAAUGUCUGAUGGCUUGCUCCCGUUGGAUCUUUUUUAUUCUUUCAAGAUGUUGAGACGAAGAUAGAGGCAAUAGAGGGAUUUAUAUUAUUAUAGUAUAUAAUUAAAAAGAAAAAGAAAGGGAAACGAUUUUCUCUGGGAUUCAGCAGGAUUUUCUCGGGAAAUGAGUGCAAAAAUUGUUUGCUUGUUG